This is a non-coding RNA of Schistocerca gregaria, 74 nucleotides long. NCBI's taxonomy places the organism in Eukaryota, Metazoa, Arthropoda, Insecta, Orthoptera, Acrididae. The record is from the annotation of a RefSeq genome assembly.
UGUCCGGAUGGCUCAGUGGUCAGAGCAUCUGCCUUAGUUAGCAGGAGACCCGGGUUCGAAUCCCGGUCCGACAC